UACGUAGGGUGCGAGCGUUGUCCGGAAUUACUGGGCGUAAAGAGCUCGUAGGUGGUUUGUCGCGUUUGUCCGUGAAAUUCCCUGGCUUAACUGGGGGGCGUGCGGGGCAGACGGUCGGAGACUGGAGUACUGCAGGGGAGACUGGAAUUCCUGGUGUAGCGGUGGAAUGCGCAGAUAUCAGGAGGAACACCGGUGGCGAAGGCGGGGUCUCUGGGCAGUAACUGACGUGAGGAGCGAAAAGCGUGGGGAGCGAACAGG
This 258-nucleotide ribosomal RNA is filed under the name uncultured bacterium. RNAcentral's name for it is "partial 16S ribosomal RNA". It matches the Rfam family "Bacterial small subunit ribosomal RNA", at positions 524 to 776 of the family's 1533-position model. The record is from RNAcentral.